Molecule: long non-coding RNA, 3686 nt
Organism: Artibeus jamaicensis (Jamaican fruit-eating bat)
Lineage: Eukaryota; Metazoa; Chordata; Mammalia; Chiroptera; Phyllostomidae
Exons: 4
Source: RefSeq, a predicted model, not a curated record
UUCCCAUGUUAUUGCAUAAUUUUGCUAAACAUUUGUUAAAACUGUUUAUACUUUUUCAUUUGUCGUAAUAGCCAUCGACUGAGUAAACCCUACGCACCGGUCUCUGGAUGAGGCAGUGAAUAAAACCAAGCUGGUGUAGGUGCUCGGACCACUGGAGCCACCUCCUCACACAGCUGGGACUGAUGCCCCUCCACAGCCUACAGCAGUGACUGACUGCAGGGAUACCGGAGCACCCGUCCCUUUGCCUCAAUGCAGGAUGGCAGGCCUCUCCAUACCAAUGGGAAGAUGGCCAGAUGUGUGAGCCUACCCCUGGGAGCAAGGCACUGAGCCCGUGGAAUCCCCAGGGCACAUAGGAGGGAGAGAACCCUGCUAUUGUUUCAGGGCAGAAGUGAACUUCCUGAAGGCUGAGAAGAUGAUUCAAAUGUUCCUUCUGGAAAGGUGGCUGGUGGUGAGAGAGAGGCAGGUACAGGGAACUCAGGACUGAUUUGGGAUUCACUGUCUUGUCCACAGUGACUUAGGCAGCCCAGGACCCUGCCUUUUGUGGGCCAGGAUCCCGAGAAAGUGUCCUCCGUGCAAACACUCAGGCAGUUGCUGCGUGGAUGGUCUGAGAUGCUUCUUGUGAUUGCUCUAUAAAUGUCCCAGGGGGCAAUCAUUUGGAAGUUAAGCUAGGGAAGGGGAGAGGUGUGAUGCUCUAAAGCUAAGCAGAUUCAGGCAGGGCCAGGAAAGUUUUCUAGAAAAGUGGAUUCCCAAUCUGUCUGACCAAGGAAGAGGAGCUCUCUCUGCCUCGCACGUGAUCUGCAAAUGCAUCUCUGUGUACGCUCCCCUCGUCUGCAGCAGCGGUGGGACAGCUUUCAAACAGGUUGGUUGAAUCACCUUGCUGGAUCCGAGCGAGCUGCAGGGCUUUGCUGAGCUCUACUGCCCAAAGGGGCUGGGUAGUACAUUGAAAAGCAUUUGUGUUCUGUUGCCCAAAAGAGCUGGAUUCAAGUCCUGCCUGAGUGGCUUGUUAGUCGUGUCUCCUUGAGUAAGUUGCUUGACCUCUCUGAUUCCUCAAACUCCUUCAUUACAAAAUGGGGGCAAUCACUCCAUAGGGUUGGACUGCGAAUUAAACAUGACAAUGUAUAGCACCAGGCUGAAAGCAGCUCCAAUUAUUUCAUUUAUGUGCGUGUCGGAAACAGAGUGGGAGGGCAGGACCUGAGAUGGGGAUGGAUUGAGGAGUCGGACUAACAGGCAUGUACAGUUUGGGGCCUCAACUUCUAAUUUUCUCUAACAAGGUGCUACCUGGAGAUGAGCUAGUCUAAACCCAGGCUGCCUCUCCAGGAUAGUAGCCUCUGACUCCAGACUCUUCCAGAGAACCUGUGACGGGCUCAGGACAUGACACCCACGCCUCGGCACUGCCUUUGGUAAACAGGCAGCCUGGGGAACGCCCACUUCAGCCCAGGCUCUACGACUGUGCCUGGACACACAACACCAACACGGCAGGAUGACCCGGAGGUGGGGCCUCGGCCCGGCAGCCUGUCUCACUGGCAUUGGUGAUGUGGGCUGAGAAAUGAAAAAUAAUAUCCAAAGGGGAAAUAUUUAAGAUCAUGUGAACAAACUCUCAGUAGAUGGAAUUUCAUUUUUCUUUUUCAAUUUUUGGUAUUAUUUAUGUGUUCUUAUAUGAGAAUGUGUGUGUCAGGACAUAAAUGUAUCAAACAAGAAAGAGAAAUCGUAAGCCAUGGAUUCCAGUGCACUCUCUCUCUCUAGGAAGGGAGAACAUCAAUGCGAGAGAGAAGCUUUGAUUGGUUGUCUCCUGUACGUGCUCAAACCAAUGAUCAGAUAUGCCCAAACUGGGCAUCGACCCUGCACCACAGGCACGUGCCCUGACUAGAAUGGAACCCUCAACCUUCAGUUACCGGAUGAUGCUCCAAACAACUGAGCCACGCUGGUCAGGGCCAGCUCAAGCUCUUACUAACUGAAAGAGACCUUGGGCAAAUCCUUUAAUCUUGUUGAGCCUCAAUGAUAGCAUCUAUAAAAUGGAAGACUAAUGCCUAUCUCAAAGGGUUGUAAUUAGGAUCAAAUAAAAUAAUAAAUGGAAAAGCCCUUAGUGAACUGGGGGCAAAAGUGAUACACCGAACAUGUCAAGUGUUGACGGUCAUUCCACCUGAAGCACCGAUAAUUAUUGGGCUGACUUCCUAGGCUCUCUAAUGUACUUGACAUCUGCUCCUGCCUCUUCUCUGCUCAUUCAACCCCUACCUCAGACUCCCUGCUCCAUCAGGUCAAAAGAAUUGAGACAAUGUCCACUCCAUUGUGCCUGAUACAGGCCGGUUGUUCCUCAAUGGUCAUUAAGGGCUCUUAGGGACAGAAGUGAUGAUUAAAAUUUGCUGGUGUGAGUGCGAGGAGUCUUUUUCUGCUUGCUUUGCAACCCCUCUCAAGACUCGUGUUGCUCCCGUCUUUCCCUGAACAAGAGCAACAAAGGAAGAGAAAAGAUUCCUGGGACAGCACAAGGAAUACAAUGCUAACUGCCGUGGCCUCCAAGUUGCCCCACCCACAAAAUUUCCAUAAAAUACUUGACUACUGCAAGAAAGAAAUGAUAGCCCCUCAAGGUUUUCUGUUGGCUUCUUCCUGAGGCACUUCCCUCUCAGACACUGCAAAGGUUGUCGAGAACCAGCUACACAGCACGAGAACCAGAGUCAGGGCACUUUCCUGCCUGGCCAUCUGACUGUAAGUUCACGGUCAUGUGCUCAUCUUGCUUUGAGCAUAAACUACCUUGUCCUAUCAAUUUUGUUUUAUUAAAAAAAUUAAAACCACUUUCCACCUAUAAAGUAAUACAUACUUAUGAUAGGAAAAUUGGAAAACAGUGGAAACGAUAAAGGAAGAGGAAAGAACUAUCCAACAUUUCACGGCUAACACCUCGGGUAUAUUCCCUGUCAGUGUCCUCUCUCAGCCACGAAGAGCAAGUGACGUGUAUACAGUUUUGUGCAUCUUUUCACUCACUAUGAUGACAUGAAGAUUUCCCACAAUGCUAAAAUUCUCAGAAAAAAACAUGGACUUUCAUUGCUGCAUAAUGUCCAUUACACAGAUGAAUCAUAAGUAAUUUAACUGAUUCCCUAUUGUUCAACAUUUAGGCUGUUUUUAUUUUUUCCCUUAAAAAUAACAAUGCUAUUAAUAUCCUUGUAAAUAAGAGUCCACAUCUUUGAUUAUUUCCUCAACAUAAAUGACUAGAAAUAGAACUACUGGGUCAAAAGACGAGGAACAUUUCUGAAAUUCUUGAUAUGUGGUGCUUAAUUGCCCUCAAGAAAAUGUGUGCCAAUUAACUUUCCAUUGAUGGUGUAUAACAGGACUUGCUUCACCACACCCUCACCGGAGCUGUAUAUCAUCGCUACUUUAAUCUUUGCUAUUUUAAUAAGUAAAAGUAGAUUUGCUUAAUUUUUAUGUGGCUAUUUCAAACUGUCAAUCCAGCCAUCAUACUCAUUUGUUUGUUUGCUACUUGUUUAUUAUUUAUGCCCUGUCUACUUCCAGAAAGUGGUUCCAACUGGAUGAUAAGCCCUUCAAGACAGUAACUGUCCCUCUUUGUUGCUUCUGUGACUGGACAGUGGGCUUCACGUAUCUGAAACUUGAUGCAUGUUUGGAAGUUAUUUUUGAACCGUAUAGAGCUGUUCACUAACAGAAUAGGGUAUUCUCUCUUUUGUGGAUGUAUCUGGCUUUAU